UUUCAGGGCGACAGGCUUAUCUAGAGAACCCAAGUGGGUUGGCAACCUGAGAAAUCAUUUUCCCUUAAACCUGCAGUCAGGUCAUCCUUAUCUUUUACUAGUUCCUUGCACCCUGGCAAAAAACCUGCUAUUUUUGUCCCAGUAGAAAGCCAGGAUAAAGCCUGCUGGGCUGAAAACAUGCUAAGAAUCUGCUUUGUGCUAAUUUGUUUUUUGACAGAACCAGGUAGCCAAGCACAAGUGCACGGUUCUGCUGUACCUUGCAGGCCAGGAAGAGGUGCUGCCCACACAGUGAGCUGCCCAAAAGAAAAAUCCAUGUGGAAAUGUGGCUGACCCUUCCCAUUGCAUCUUGAUUUCUCCAAUACUCUGAAAAGGAAAUGCAUCUGGAACCAGAAGCAAACACUUUCUCUGAACAGCAUCCCUCCAAGAAUAUCCAGGAAAACAGAGGCUGUCAAAGCUGUGAGCCAAAUGACAACUCAGCUGGUUCUGACCCGUUGGGUUUCCUUCCACCUGAUAAGAAUUUGGUUGUCAAAAGAAAAUCUUACUCAGUAAGAUCCAAGUGGACAAAGAAGACUGGAGAACUUUUUUUUUUUUUUCCCCUCCUCCUAAGGGGUAUUUCAACCUUUAAGCAUUUGUCUAUGACCUAAAGUAGGAUUUGAAAAUGUUGAAAACUGUUGAAAUAAUGUAACUUCAUUGCAAUUUCUCCCACUGUGGACUUGAAAUAAUUAUUGUGAAAAUACAAUUUGCUUUUUUGUUGAA
Cyanistes caeruleus (blue tit) is the source of this 756-nucleotide long non-coding RNA. RefSeq lists it as uncharacterized. Lineage: Eukaryota; Metazoa; Chordata; Aves; Passeriformes; Paridae. The record is from RefSeq and is a predicted model, not a curated record.